AACGCUAGCUACAGGCUUAACACAUGCAAGUCGAGGGGCAUCAGGGUAGCAAUACCGCUGGCGACCGGCGCACGGGUGAGUAACACGUAUCCAACCUACCGUUAACUCGGGGAUAGCCUUUCGAAAGAAAGAUUAAUACCCGAUAGUAUAUUUUCUUCGCAUGUUGAAAAUAUUAAAGAAUUUCGGUUAUCGAUGGGGAUGCGUUCCAUUAGGCAGUUGGCGGGGUAACGGCCACCAAACCUACGAUGGAUAGGGGUUCUGAGAGGAAGGUCCCCCACAUUGGAACUGAGACACGGUCCAAACUCCUACGGGAGGCAGCAGUGAGGAAUAUUGGUCAAUGGACGAAGGUCUGAACCAGCCAAGUAGCGUGAAGGAUGACUGCCCUAUGGGUUGUAAACUUCUUUUAUAUGGGAAUAAAGUUCUCCACGUGUGGAGUUUUGUAUGUACCAUUAUGAAUAAGCAUCGGCUAACUCCGUGCCAGCAGCCGCGGUAAUACGGAGGAUGCGAGCGUUAUCCGGAUUUAUUGGGUUUAAAGGGAGCGUAGGUGGACUGGUAAGUCAGUUGUGAAAGUUUGCGGCUCAACCGUAAAAUUGCAGUUGAUACUGUCAGUCUUGAGUACAGUAGAGGUGGGCGGAAUUCGUGGUGUAGCGGUGAAAUGCUUAGAUAUCACGAAGAACUCCGAUUG
Molecule: ribosomal RNA, 685 nt
Filed under: uncultured bacterium
Lineage: Bacteria
Description: bacterial SSU rRNA
Rfam family: Bacterial small subunit ribosomal RNA
Source: RNAcentral